Molecule: ribosomal RNA, 587 nt
Filed under: Hanseniaspora opuntiae
Lineage: Eukaryota; Fungi; Ascomycota; Saccharomycetes; Saccharomycodales; Saccharomycodaceae
Description: partial large subunit ribosomal RNA
Rfam family: Eukaryotic large subunit ribosomal RNA
Source: RNAcentral
GGAAAAGAAACCAACUGGGAUUACCUUAGUAACGGCGAGUGAAGCGGUAAAAGCUCAAAUUUGAAAUCUGGUACUUUCAGUGCCCGAGUUGUAAUUUGUAGAAUUUGUCUUUGAUUAGGUCCUUGUCUAUGUUCCUUGGAACAGGACGUCAUAGAGGGUGAGAAUCCCGUUUGGCGAGGAUACCUUUUCUCUGUAAGACUUUUUCGAAGAGUCGAGUUGUUUGGGAAUGCAGCUCAAAGUGGGUGGUAAAUUCCAUCUAAAGCUAAAUAUUGGCGAGAGACCGAUAGCGAACAAGUACAGUGAUGGAAAGAUGAAAAGAACUUUGAAAAGAGAGUGAAAAAGUACGUGAAAUUGUUGAAAGGGAAGGGCAUUUGAUCAGACAUGGUGUUUUUUGCAUGCACUCGCCUCUCGUGGGCUUGGGCCUCUCAAAAAUUUCACUGGGCCAACAUCAAUUCUGGCAGUAGGAUAAAUCAUUAAGAAUGUAGCUACCUCGGUAGUGUUAUAGCUUAUUGGAAUACUGCUAGCUGGGAUUGAGGACUGCGCUUCGGCAAGGAUGUUGGCAUAAUGGUUAAAUGCCGCCCGUCUUG